This 672-nucleotide long non-coding RNA is filed under the name Bemisia tabaci. Its description in RNAcentral is "lncRNA ENSSSA1UGG004378". Lineage: Eukaryota; Metazoa; Arthropoda; Insecta; Hemiptera; Aleyrodidae. The record is from RNAcentral.
GUGUCGUGUGCUGAUGUGCUUUAUGCUUUCACCAUUCUGUGUUAGUCUUCCUUCACAGUUAAAUUCCAAUUAAAUUUCACUCCACCUACUGUGACUCCAGUAUUUGAUGUGCUUUUGGUUGCUGAAGCUGAACUUCUAUCUGAAGAAACUCAUCGAUUUCCAAGAAAGUUUUACUAGAUGUAUCACGUUGCCAGAUUUGUGGAAAAUGGGAGGGUGUUGGUGGAGGUCAUAGCCUCCAAUUGGAAAGUAAACCAAAAGCAAUAUUAUGGCCGAAUGUCAAUAAGAAGAAAUUCGAGAAAUAUCUGAAGGAGCGGCGAGAGCCAGACAGCUCCUGGCUCCAAAUCGCUACAACACUGUUAAAGCAGGACAUAGGCUAUGAGGAGGCAGAGAAUUUCGUAAAUGAUUAUAUACUGAAAGCGAACACGGAGAGUGAGAGCGAAAGCAGUGAAGUGGAACGACGGAAAAGCACCCUGCCCCGGAAAAAGAAAGACACCCGUAAGUUUUGCCUGAGUAUUCUACAAAUAGACACAAUUUCACGAUAUAAAAGAAGAAAAUGAGGUCUGAAGCUGCAGGUAUAGCUGGAAAGGUUCUGCUUGUCUUUUCUGUAAGUGCAUUUGACAGCACUUGCAUUUUGAGAGCAGAAUUAAAUCAUAAGAAUGAAAGUACGACUUG